AGGCGGGGAUAACGUGGGCAGCGUUCGGCGAGCGAGGGACCGGGAAGCCUCGUCCUGCGCUGCGGCUGCCGCCCGGCCGGCCGGCGGCGAGAGGAUGCUCCCCGGCUGCCCGCGCUCCGCAGCCGGAAUUUGCAAAUGCUCAGCCUUCCCCGGAGCGAUGCCAGGCUGAGCAGGCUCAACAGGACACACAAACAUCAAAGAGCCUCCUCUAUUCCAAUGAAAACGAAAUAAUUCCCUGGAUUACAUCUCAGUUCACGCACUAACCUAGUAUCAUGAAUUCACACCUGCUUCUGUCAGUCUGUUCGGAAAUCUGCACGACAUGCAAUCAGAGCUGAAUGCAGUGAUUGGGAUGACAGCAAGACUUGCAACAUGCUGUACUGGAAGACAAGAGACUGAUAGUUACCAACCUCAGCAGGCUGUUCCUACUAAAACCAAUAUCCAAUACUAAAACAUUAAUUAGUUAACUAGUAGAAGGCCUAGCAGCACCACACAUCUCGAGUAAUCCAGUUAUGUCCAACUAGAUUUUUUCUGCAUUGUCUGCUCCAUUCCUGAUCUGCAGAAGCAUUUUAAGUUGUUGUUACUUCCAACUCACUCACCAGAAGUAAAUUUCCUGGCCAUUCCUCUUGAGUCCCACAUUAAAAUGAUGUGACCUAACAAAGUAAUUCAAGUUCUGCUUUAUUUGGAUUUGAUC
This 691-nucleotide long non-coding RNA is filed under the name Cairina moschata (Muscovy duck). RNAcentral describes it as "domestica (muscovy Duck (domestic type)) lncRNA (ENSCMMG00000001409.1)". Lineage: Eukaryota; Metazoa; Chordata; Aves; Anseriformes; Anatidae. The record is from RNAcentral.